ACGGAAGGCAGCAGUGAGGAAUAUUGGUCAAUGGGCGCAAGCCUGAACCAGCCAAGUAGCGUGAGGGAUGACUGCCCUACGGGUUGUAAACCUCUUUUGUUUGGGAAUAAAGGAGCCUACGCGUAGGCUUUUGCAUGUACCUUUCGAAUCAGCAUCGGCUAAUUCCGUGCCAGCAGCCGCGGUAAUACGGAAGAUGCGAGCGUUAUCCGGAUUUAUUGGGUUUAAAGGGAGCGUAGGCGGCCGGUUAAGUAUGCGGUCAAAUGUCAGGGCCCAACCUUGGCAUGCCGUGGAUACUGUCCGGCUUGAGUGCACACAAGGAAGGUGGAAUUCGUCGUGUAGCGGUGAAAUGCAUAGAUAUGACGAAGAACUCCGAUUGCGAAGGCAGCCUUCUGGGGUGUUCCUGACGCUGAGGCUCGAAAGUGCGGUAAUCAAACAGGAUUAGAUACCCUGGUA
This 453-nucleotide ribosomal RNA is filed under the name uncultured Paraprevotella sp. RNAcentral's name for it is "partial 16S ribosomal RNA". It matches the Rfam family "Bacterial small subunit ribosomal RNA", at positions 341 to 792 of the family's 1533-position model. The record is from RNAcentral. Lineage: Bacteria; Pseudomonadati; Bacteroidota; Bacteroidia; Bacteroidales; Prevotellaceae.